RNAcentral lists this ribosomal RNA (724 nucleotides) under uncultured bacterium. RNAcentral's name for it is "bacterial SSU rRNA". It matches the Rfam family "Bacterial small subunit ribosomal RNA", at positions 74 to 830 of the family's 1533-position model. The record is from RNAcentral.
GGGUAGCAAUACCUGAGUAAAGUGGCGCACGGGUGAGUAACACGUGACUAACCUACCCUGGAGUGGGGGAUAACUGAGGGAAACCUUAGCUAAUACCGCAUAAUACCCACGGGUCAAAGGAGCAAUUCGCUUCAGGAGGGGGUCGCGGCCGAUUAGUUAGUUGGCGGGGUAAUGGCCCACCAAGACGAUGAUCGGUAUCCGGCCUGAGAGGGCGCACGGACACACUGGAACUGAAACACGGUCCAGACUCCUACGGGAGGCAGCAGUGGGGAAUUUUGCGCAAUGGGGGAAACCCUGACGCAGCAACGCCGCGUGGAGGAUGAAGUACUUCGGUACGUAAACUCCUUUCGAUCGGGACGAUAAUGACGGUACCGAGAGAAGAAGCCCCGGCUAACUUCGUGCCAGCAGCCGCGGUAAUACGAGGGGGGCGAGCGUUGUUCGGAAUUAUUGGGCGUAAAGGGUGCGUAGGCGGUUUGGUAAGUCUGAUGUGAAAUCUAUGGGCUCAACUCAUAGUCUGCAUCGGAAACUGCCGGGCUUGAGUGUGGGAGAGGUGAGUGGAAUUUCCGGUGUAGCGGUGAAAUGCGUAGAUAUCGGAAGGAACACCUGUGGCGAAAGCGGCUCACUGGACCACAACUGACGCUGAUGCACGAAAGCUAGGGGAGCAAACAGGAUUAGAUACCCUGGUAGUCCUAGCCCUAAACGAUGACUGCUUGGUGUGACGGGU